CAGUCGCCGCGGGAAUACGAAGGGUGCAAGCGUUAAUCGGAAUUACUGGGCGUAAAGCGUGCGUAGGCGGCGAUCAAAGUCAGGCGUGAAAUUCCUGGGCUCAACCUGGGGGCUGCGCUUGAUACUGGGUUGCUUGAGUGGGGAAGAGGGUCGUGGAAUUCCCAGUGUAGAGGUGAAAUUCGUAGAUAUUGGGAAGAACACCGGUGGCGAAGGCGGCGACCUGGUCCUUUACUGACGCUGAGGCGCGAAAGCGAGGGGAGCAAACAGGAUUAGAGACCCGAGUAGUCCCUGUCUCUUAUAC
Molecule: ribosomal RNA, 301 nt
Filed under: uncultured bacterium
Lineage: Bacteria
Description: partial 16S ribosomal RNA
Rfam family: Bacterial small subunit ribosomal RNA
Source: RNAcentral